Long non-coding RNA from Rhipicephalus sanguineus (brown dog tick), 452 nucleotides. RefSeq lists it as uncharacterized. The record is from RefSeq and is a predicted model, not a curated record. Lineage: Eukaryota; Metazoa; Arthropoda; Arachnida; Ixodida; Ixodidae. The transcript has 3 exons.
ACCACACAGAAACAGUCUACCCUAAAAUCAUUGAAGAACGUAGUGGGGAUGGAUCUCUGGUACUGCGCAUUCGCCGUGGGCUGUCACUUUCUCUUAACAAGAUUUCAGUUGCGACGGAAGCACUUCGACUUAGAAGCUCUGUCAACGGCACUAUCAUUGACCAAACUAUCGGAUUGCUGAACCCAGGUGAAAGAAUACAGCCCGCUUUUUUUGAACCCAAACGUGUUUCGGGAGGGCUACCACAUACUGUACAAAGGAUCCAGCAAGCUCUUGACCUAGAGCGGAUAACUAAGGAAAAAGUGCAAGGUAUUUUACCUAGAAGCUACACUGACACAAAAAUGCCGGGCGAAGUUACCAUUGAAGUGUACGUUGUGUCAGACACAAUCCACAACAAGAGAUUUGAGGACAACGACCUUUUGGUCUAUAUAUGCAUCUUUAUGAAUACCGUAAGC